UGUAAAAUUGUUUUGUGUUUAAAUAAAACAAAGUUUUUGAUUCAAUGGAAUAUCUUAUUGAGCAUCACAACUAUGUCAAGCACUAUGGCAGAAAACUAUAAAUAAUAUAUACAAAAACUAGUUAUAAGGAGCGCUUUCGAUUAUACCUUAUUGAGGCUAUCAACACAACAUUACUGUGGUUGGAUUCCCGUGAGUUUAGUGUCCAGGUAAAUUUCCAUACCACGAGAAAGACAGAGUUUGAAUGGGCACGGGGUUCAAACUUUUGCAAAGCUGGCGACUUUGCAUCUCUCUCGUGCUUCUGAAGGAGUCAAACUUGAUAUUCAUCCAUCCAUAUGUUAAACUCUUCUUGCUGCUUCCCUCUUUGCUUGCCUCCUGGAAUAUCCUUGUCUCCAACAAGAAGAUAGGCAUCAUUCAGAACACCAAGCUCAAAGAGAAGUUGAUCGUUAAUCUGCUGUGGAUGGCACAGUCCUAGUUUCUUUGUGAGAUGUACUUGCACUUGUAGUGAAGAGCAAGAUCUGGAAGGUCUAAUACAUAAAAUUUUUUAUUUGUUGCAAUUUUAAAUGAAAUUUUCAUUUAUAUUAAUAUUUGACAUGGUG
RNAcentral lists this long non-coding RNA (596 nucleotides) under Androctonus crassicauda. Lineage: Eukaryota; Metazoa; Arthropoda; Arachnida; Scorpiones; Buthidae. The record is from RNAcentral.